GUGAACAACGUGCCCCGAAGACUGGGAUAGCCAGGGGAAACCCUGAGUAAUACCGGAUGUGGCGGACUUUCGGCAUCGAGAGUCCAUUAAAUGGUUUUUCGCUUCGGGAGCGAUUCACGGCCUAUCAGCUAGUUGGCGGGGUAAUAGCCCACCAAGGCGACGACGGGUGGGGGGUCUGAGAGGAUGAUCCCCCCGAGUGGGACUGAGACACGGCC
RNAcentral lists this ribosomal RNA (215 nucleotides) under uncultured bacterium. Its description in RNAcentral is "partial 16S ribosomal RNA". It matches the Rfam family "Bacterial small subunit ribosomal RNA", at positions 117 to 331 of the family's 1533-position model. The record is from RNAcentral.